This 306-nucleotide ribosomal RNA is filed under the name uncultured bacterium. RNAcentral's name for it is "partial 16S ribosomal RNA". It matches the Rfam family "Bacterial small subunit ribosomal RNA", at positions 507 to 808 of the family's 1533-position model. The record is from RNAcentral.
GACAGCAGUCGCCGCGGUAACACGUAGGUCCCGAGCGUUGUCCGGAUUUAUUGGGCGUAAAGCGAGCGCAGGCGGUUAGAUAAGUCUGAAGUUAAAGGCUGUGGCUUAACCAUAGUACGCUUUGGAAACUGUUUAACUUGAGUGCAGAAGGGGAGAGUGGAAUUCCAUGUGUAGCGGUGAAAUGCGUAGAUAUAUGGAGGAACACCGGUGGCGAAAGCGGCUCUCUGGUCUGUAACUGACGCUGAGGCUCGAAAGCGUGGGGAGCGAACAGGAUUAGAUACCCCAGUAGUCCCUGUCUCUUAUACA